RNAcentral lists this ribosomal RNA (253 nucleotides) under uncultured bacterium. RNAcentral describes it as "partial 16S ribosomal RNA". It matches the Rfam family "Bacterial small subunit ribosomal RNA", at positions 524 to 776 of the family's 1533-position model. The record is from RNAcentral.
UACGAAGGGGGCUAGCGUUGCUCGGAAUCACUGGGCGUAAAGGGUGCGUAGGCGGGUCUUUAAGUCAGGGGUGAAAUCCUGGAGCUCAACUCCAGAACUGCCUUUGAUACUGAAGAGCUUGAGUACUGGAGAGGUGAGUGGAAUUCCUGGUGUAGUGGUGAAAUACGUAGAUAUCAGGAGGAACACCGGUGGCGAAGGCGGCUCACUGGCCAUGUACUGACACUGAAACACGAAAGCGUGGGGAUCAAACAGG